Molecule: unclassified non-coding RNA, 253 nt
Filed under: uncultured Actinomycetes bacterium
Lineage: Bacteria; Bacillati; Actinomycetota; Actinomycetes
Description: uncultured actinobacterium contains 16S-23S intergenic spacer region
Rfam family: Bacterial small subunit ribosomal RNA
Source: RNAcentral
UACGUAGGGGGCAAGCGUUAUCCGGAUUUAUUGGGCGUAAAGAGCUCGUAGGCGGCCGAUCGCGUCGGAUGUGAAAGCUCGGGGCUUAACCCUGAGAGGCCAUUCGAUACGGAUCGGCUAGAGGUAGGUAGGGGAAAGUGGAAUUCCUGGUGUAGCGGUGAAAUGCGCAGAUAUCAGGAGGAACACCGGUGGCGAAGGCGGCUUUCUGGGCCUUACCUGACGCUGAGGAGCGAAAGCUGGGGGAGCAAACAGG